CUCUACUCGCUUCACCAACCCCGUUCUCACCACUACUGCGACCCUUCGUUACAGUAAUUCUGCUGGUCCUGUCUCUGGUCCUCCUCCUGGUGGACCUACCAUCCAAAUCGACUGGUCUUUGAACCAGGCACGCUCUAUCAGGACUAACCUUACAGCGAGUGGACCAAGGCCUAACCCUCAGGGCUCUUACCACUAUGGUCUCAUUAAUACAACCAGAACCAUCAGGCUUGCAAACUCUGCGGGACAAGUUAAUGGGAAGCAAAGAUAUGCAGUUAACAGUGUUUCCUUUGUUCUGCCAGAUACUCCUUUGAAACUUGCCGAC
This 322-nucleotide long non-coding RNA is filed under the name Gossypium barbadense (sea-island cotton). RNAcentral describes it as "long non-coding RNA (GBAR_LNC016278)". The record is from RNAcentral. Lineage: Eukaryota; Viridiplantae; Streptophyta; Magnoliopsida; Malvales; Malvaceae.